RNA transcript from Gadus morhua (Atlantic cod), 3492 nucleotides. It is a transcript of the gene named KH domain containing, RNA binding, signal transduction associated 2, with no coding region annotated. Lineage: Eukaryota; Metazoa; Chordata; Actinopteri; Gadiformes; Gadidae. The transcript is spliced from 13 exons. The record is from RefSeq and is a predicted model, not a curated record.
GUUGAACUGAGCUGCAUCACUGGAAUCUGGAUUUCCCCCUCCCCGCUUCUUUUGAGUGGGUUCCUUUUUCUCCACGCUGUCAACCCCUAAAAAAGGAAAUCAUUUGUAAAUUGCAACGCUCCCCACCGUAGAUUGUACUCCGGGUCGUGUCUCACCUGCACACCGCACCGAACGGCUCUUACUGUACGAACGAGAACCAUGCAUCGGGAGAAAGACUUACCUGAACUGAUGGCGGAGAAGGACAGCCUUGACCCGUCCUUUGUUCACGCGAUGCGCCUGCUCGCCGAAGAAAUUGAAAAGCACGAGGAUGAUGACGGCGGGAAAAAAGAGGAAGAGGUGAAGAAAUAUCUCGACAUCAUCAGCAAUAAAAACAUCAAGCUGUGCGAAAGAGUCCUCAUUCCUGUCCUACAGUACCCAAAGUUUAAUUUCGUUGGAAAGCUGCUGGGACCCCGCGGAAAUUCAAUGAAGCGAUUACAAGAGGAGACAGGGGCGAAGAUGUCCAUUCUUGGCAAAGGUUCAAUGAGGGAUAAAGGCAAGGAGGAGGAGCUGAGGAAAAGCGGCGAGGCUAAAUACGGCCAUUUGAGUAACGAUCUCCACGUCCUGAUCGAGGUCUUCGCCCCGCCCGGGGAAGCCUAUACUCGCAUGAGCAGCGCCUUGGACGAGAUCAAGAAGUUUCUAGUGCCAGACUACAACGACGAGAUCAGGCAGGAGCAGUUGAGAGAGCUCUCCUACUUGAAUGGUUCCGACGAGACCGGCAGGGGGAGGACAGCACCAGCCAGGGCCCUGCGCCCGGCCUUCGCCCCAGCCUCAAGGGGCCGUGGCGGCAUUGGCAGAGGGUCGGUGGCCUCUCGCGGAGCCCUGGUGACUCAGAGCAACCCAGCCAGCGCUGCCGGAACCAGGGACACACCGUCCCACAGGGGCAGGGGGGCACCGGCGAAGCCUGGAUACCGGCCCCCACUGUUACCGAUCACACAUGAGUCCUACGAAGACUACAGCUACGACGACGGGUACGACGGGCAGUACGACGACGAGAGCUACGACGCCCACGACGACAGCUACAGCAACCAGUCCAAAAGCAUUUCAGAAUUUUAUGAAUAUGGACACGGUACCAGUGAUGACUCCUACAAUAACUAUGAGGAGGACUGGGCGGCGUGUCGGCCCAAUCGCAAAGCCCCGACAGCCCGUCUGUCGAGAGGAGGUUUCAGAGAACAUCCUUAUGGGAGAUACUGAAGGUUGAUUUCGUUUUUUUUAUGCACCCCCCCCUCAUAAAAUGUUACGGCUCUUCCUGCCAUCAUCCAUUUGCUCGAAAGCCGUUUUUAUUUCCUUUUUCGGUGGACAAAAAUACUGUAAAGCCAACAAUAAUCUGACCUUUCGAUUUACAAUACAAUGUUCUCUUUUACUUGCCUCAUGUUUAUCUGUUGACGGUGGAUUUGGUAUUUAUGUGACAUGGAGGGAACCUCAGUGGAACCUAAAUGACUUGGAUAUCCAGGCAUAAACCCGGAAAAAAAAUAUAUCACAUAAUAACAACCGAUGUUAAAAGGGCAUUGUUCUGAUGCACUGACAGAACCCCCCAAGAAAUCAGAGUUCAGGGUUUGGAUGAUUAAAAAACAGUUGGGCUGGUAAACAGGUCAAAGCCCAAGCAGAAGUGAAUGUGUUCCCGAAGAAUAACAUGUUGCCAAAAUACCGUAUUUCAUACUUUUUCGAUUGUGGUUUUGGAUCUUUUAUGUGUCCAAUUGAAGUGAUUGGGUCUGCACAGUACUAGAUAAACAACAUAAUUAUCAUAUUUAAUCUACAGCACAUUACACAGGUCAUUGAGGUAGGAAAAAGAUGUAUCUGCACUUGUGAUAUACAGUACAUCUAGAAUUUAUUAUAAUAUUAUUAGUUCUCAAAAAACGAAUUGCACAAUUAAUGACACAAUUCAGCUAGGAUUAAUGUUUGUGUAGAACAUGAAUAUUACUGCAGUAGGGUAAUUAGGGCAACUGAAAGUAUCACCAUGUAAAACAAUAUCAAUACUAUUUCUAAGCUAAACACUGGUAUGAACUCCCAGAAAUCAUAUUUUAACUAGAAUCAACCAACCGCAUGUACUUUCACGUUUCACAAGUUAAAUGUCCAAAAUCCAAAGGCAUUAUUUAUGGCAUGGGUUUUAUGCGAAAUGUGAAUUUGAUCAUUUGAAACUCUUACUACUUUACAAUCCACCUGAAUUGACACUUAAGUAAGCACCUAAACCCGUUUUCACAUUGUGAGAUGUCAGAAAAUGUGUGUUGUUUGUUGGGGCACCGACCAAUCAUGAGUGCACAGUACAGUGUGUAGUUUCUAAACAAGUGCUUUGGUUUUUUCCUAAUAUGUAUUUGUACAUAAAGCAUUUAAUAAAAACAACACAAAAAACAAUCCAGGAUGUGGUGUUAGCCUCUUUAAAUAGGUGUUCAUAAACUCUUAUAAUGUUGCAUGUUGCUUGUUGAGGUUCAAUGUCUUCAACUUUUAAUACCGUGUUUGCUAAAAAGUUUCAUAAAGACAACGGACUCGUCGCGAACCGCUUUAUUUUCACAGUAUUCUCGCUAAAUUGGACACGGCAAUUGGAUAACAACAAAAUGGACGCAGGUUGUUGUUACGACUAAUACAUUGUUUCCUAAUCCAUUCUCAAGUUAAACAGAUUUGUGAAUCUGAGAAUGAUAUGGAGUUUAAAGAGGUAAGACCUCCGCCCAUAUACUCAUUAACUAUCACACUAUUACCAUAUUAAUGUAUUAAAUGUACUAAAAACUUUUGCAGCUUCAUUAAUUCACAACGCAUUAAGGAACCGGAAUGUGGAGAUUGGUAUUCAUGCUCUGACAAGUGGCAUUAAAUGAAAUUAACAACAAUAAAACAUACUGUACUUGUCCGUGCUUUAAACACCACAGCUGAGGUCUGUGAUUCAGCUUUUGUGCCUCUCUUUUGUGACUAGUACACCUGAAGGCUGACUCUUUAAGAGUGUAGUUCCCGGACAGAAAUGAAGACUAAGCAGAUAUAGGGCACUCUGGUCAGUUAAACAGCAGCUGCUGCCUCUGUGCUGCCUUCAAUUAUUGAACACAGAGGGCCCAGCUCUGAGGAGAGAGGCUUGCCACUUACCAUCCAGAGGUGUGAAUAUCCACCGUUGAUCUGCACCAACCACCCCAAAGGCUGGAAUUGGGCUAAGAGAGACGAAACAAGGCGGCAUGGGAACCACGAGCCAAAUUCAACAAAGAAAGCACCUCGGUGACCGCAGAACCCAAAGACUGCAUCGGAGCCCGUCAGCCCCCAGCCCCAAACCCCCCCCCCCCACCACCACCCUCUCUGACAGCUAAUAACUCGGGGGGGCUGAUAACCAGACAGCCCGUGGAUCCAGGGCACUUACUGAGCCGCGCUCAGCCCUCAGCCACCGCGCCAGAGACCUGGCCUGCGGAUGACAAGAAAUACAACACGCACACACAUCAGUACACACGUAACAUACACGCACGCACACACACACACACACACACA